RNAcentral lists this ribosomal RNA (441 nucleotides) under uncultured bacterium. RNAcentral's name for it is "partial 16S ribosomal RNA". It matches the Rfam family "Bacterial small subunit ribosomal RNA", at positions 338 to 795 of the family's 1533-position model. The record is from RNAcentral.
CCUACGGGGGGCAGCAGUGGGGGAUAUUGCACAAUGGGGGAAACCCUGAUGCAGCGACGCCGCGUGGGUGAAGAAGUAUUUCGGUAUGUAAAGCCCUAUCAGCAGGGAAGAAAGAAGACGGUACCUGACUAAGAAGCCCCGGCUAACUACGUGCCAGCAGCCGCGGUACUACGUAGGGGGCGAGCGUUAUCCGGAUUCACUGGGUGUAAAGGGAGCGUAGACGGCCGUGCAAGCCAGGAGUGAAAGCCCGGGGCGCAACCCCGGGACUGCUCUUGGAACUGUGCGGCUGGAGUGCGGGAGGGGCAGGCGGAAUUCCUGGUGUAGCGGUGAAAUGCGUAGAGAUCAGGAGGAACACCGGCGGCGAAGGCGGCCUGCUGGACCGCGACUGACGUUGAGGCUCGAAAGCGUGGGGAGCGAACAGGAUUAGAUACCCUUGUAGUC